CGUCGCGCGGUUGAAUGAGCCGAUGUCGGAUUAGCUAGUUGGCGGGGUAAAGGCCCACCAAGGCGACGAUCCGAAGCUGGUCUGAGAGGAUGAUCAGCCUCACUGGAACUGAGACACGGUCCAGACUCCUACGGGAGGCAGCAGUGGGGAAUAUUGGACAAUGGGCGCAAGCCUGAUCCAGCCAUGCCGCGUGGGUGAAG
This 200-nucleotide ribosomal RNA is filed under the name Xanthomonas citri pv. malvacearum. Its description in RNAcentral is "partial 16S ribosomal RNA". It matches the Rfam family "Bacterial small subunit ribosomal RNA", at positions 211 to 410 of the family's 1533-position model. Lineage: Bacteria; Pseudomonadati; Pseudomonadota; Gammaproteobacteria; Lysobacterales; Lysobacteraceae. The record is from RNAcentral.